AGUGAACGCUGGCGGUAGGCCUAACACAUGCAAGUCGAACGGCAGCACAGUAAGAGCUUGCUCUUAUGGGAGGCGAGUGGCGGACGGGUGAGGAAUACAUCGGAAUCUACUUUUUCGUGGGGGAUAACGUAGGGAAACUUACGCUAAUACCGCAUACGACCUACGGGUGAAAGCAGGGGAUCUUCGGACCUUGCGCGAUUGAAUGAGCCGAUGUCGGAUUAGCUAGUUGGCGGGGUAAAGGCCCACCAAGGCGACGAUCCGUAGCUGGUCUGAGAGGAUGAUCAGCCACACUGGAACUGGGACACGGUCCAGACUCCUACGGGAGGCAGCAGUGGGGAAUAUUGGACAAUGGGCGCAAGCCUGAUCCAGCCAUACCGCGUGGGUGAAGAAGGCCUUCGGGUUGUAAAGCCCUUUUGUUGGGAAAGAAAAGCAGCAGGUUAAUACCCCGCUGUUCUGACGGUACCCAAAGAAUAGGCACCGGCUAACUUCGUG
RNAcentral lists this ribosomal RNA (492 nucleotides) under uncultured bacterium. RNAcentral describes it as "partial 16S ribosomal RNA". It matches the Rfam family "Bacterial small subunit ribosomal RNA", at positions 29 to 507 of the family's 1533-position model. The record is from RNAcentral.